UAGGGAAUCUUCCACAAUGGGCGCAAGCCUGAUGGAGCAACACCGCGUGAGUGAAGAAGGGUUUCGGCUCGUAAAGCUCUGUUGUUAAAGAAGAACACGUAUGAGAGUAACUGUUCAUACGUUGACGGUAUUUAACCAGACAGUCACGGCUAACUACGUGCCAG
Molecule: ribosomal RNA, 164 nt
Filed under: uncultured bacterium
Lineage: Bacteria
Description: partial 16S rRNA
Rfam family: Bacterial small subunit ribosomal RNA
Source: RNAcentral